CAUUCUGAUUAGCUUUAGUACAAGUGAGAGUUAUUGGAAAAUAUAUUCUAAAGCCAAUCAUCUAAGUGGUAGAUGAUUGGAAUUAGUAUAUGAAUUAUCUAAUAAUAAUAGUUAUUUGGCAGGUUCAUCAUAAAAAUUCUAUCUUCUUUAAAUGAACUCCUAAAUUAUGAUGAAGUUCUUAGAACUAUAAUCAAUCGAUAAAGAAGGAUUUAUUAGAUGGUUCUUAGAUUGUUCACGACCAAAUGAUAAGUUAUUAACAAGGACGAUAAUUUAUCAAGUGUAGGUUGCUAUAUGCCAUAUGCGUUGGUUGUCCUCGUAACCAAGUAGUGUGGAGACACUAGUAUGGCAUCCAGAUGAGAUGUAGGAGUACAUCUGCACUGAACGUGACCAAUGUAAUACUCUACUGUCAAGAGUAGUUAGCUAAGGCCAAUGGGUAUAAGUGUCCCUC
RNAcentral lists this long non-coding RNA (448 nucleotides) under Elaeis guineensis (African oil palm). Its description in RNAcentral is "long non-coding RNA (EGUI_LNC064954)". Lineage: Eukaryota; Viridiplantae; Streptophyta; Magnoliopsida; Arecales; Arecaceae. The record is from RNAcentral.